UUCAGUUAUCAUAUCAGUGUUUCUCUUAUUCUUGUUUUUCUAGUCUUCUCAUUCUUCAUUCAUAUCAAAUUAUUAUUUUCCAGUCACUUCUCAGUCUUGUGUUUCAGUUAUCAGUGUCUCAUUUUUUGUGAUUCAGAUUUUCUUUUUCGUAUCAUUUCAGUUCAUUUUAUAUUUGUUUCUCUUAUUUAUUCAUUUUAUCAUUCAGUGAUCAUAGUUUCUUUCAUUGGUCAUUGUUAGGUAGGCUAGUUAUCAUAAGUAUUUCAGUUCCUUCAGUUAUCAUAUCAGUGUUUCUCUUAUUCUUGUUUUUCUAGUCUUCUCAUUCUUCAUUCAUAUCAAAUUAUUAUUUUCCAGUCACUUCUCAGUCUUGUGUUUCAGUUAUCAGUGUCUCAUUUUUUGUGAUUCAGAUUUUCUUUGUGUUAGUUGUCGUCAGUCUUGAGACAUUGUAUUGGUAGAAUUAGUCCUUAAUUUUUUGUUUUCCCCUCUUACUCAUUCCUUUUAGUUAUCUCUGUCUUUCAUCCCUUAGUCUUCAGUUAUCAUUCCCGCUGUAGAUUUAAUUAUUCUUCAGUUCCAUCCAUGUUCAUUAUCUUGAUAUUGAUCAUUCUUUUGCUGUUAGAUAACUAAUAUUUAGUGCAACCCCUUCACCAAGUAAAAACUGGCAUGAUCAGAUUUGUCUAUGACCUUAGUUUGUCCUCAGUCAUCUUCAUUGCAACUUUUGUAUUUGUUAAACAUUUGAUUUCGCAUCAGUUUUGUCUAUGACCUUAGUUUUGUCAUCUUCAUCAUUCUAUCUACACAACUUGCUCAUUUUUAUUUCUUCAUUCUUUUUGGUUAGUUUCGAAAGUGAUAUUAGCUACCAAGUUGUCAUCAUGUGGAUGCCCUUUUAAGGUAGCCUCCAGCUUGCGGACCACCCCGACGGUAGGCAUGGCAGGAAUAUGCCUUGGGGGAUGGAUUGUAAGCACUGCCGCGUACAAGACAGUAGCAGAUGGUCGUAUCGCUUUUCAACAAGGAUUUCUGGGAGGAAUUCCUGGAGGAGAACUACCUAGCAUUGACAGAGCGUUGCUAAUCACCAUCAGGAACAGUGCACUAGACGAACUGAACAUGAUGGUUGUCUUCAACGAGAUCUAAUUAUGAGAUUGCCAGGAAUAAGGCUCAUUUAAGUUACCGCAGUUUGUUAUGUUGUCUAUUAUCCAUGUCGCGCCAGCAGAUUGACGAACUAUGCUUUGUUUCUUUUUAUUUUUUACUUGGUGGUAUGCACAGUGAACAACUAUGUAAUAUCGAGUCUGAAAACUUCUUGUGCUUUUUUUGUGUGGCACUUGAUUAUUAUAAGUGACCAGUAAUCAUGUUUCUCCCUUUUAUUUAUUUUUUCUAAGUUCUUCUGUUGUGGCCAUAGUUUGUCUUUCAUUUUGAAUUUUUGGACCGAACAUUUUCAAUGGUUUGGGAGUACCCUUUCAAUUCUCUAUUUUGAGUCGACGAUCAUUUAUCAGUGUUAUUCAUUCUAUUGUAUUAGUUUUAUCCUGUCA
RNAcentral lists this long non-coding RNA (1517 nucleotides) under Triticum aestivum (bread wheat). Its description in RNAcentral is "long non-coding RNA (TAES_LNC000745)". The record is from RNAcentral. Lineage: Eukaryota; Viridiplantae; Streptophyta; Magnoliopsida; Poales; Poaceae.